CAGUCGCCACGGUAACACGUAGGGUGCAAGCGUUAAUCGGAAUUACUGGCGUAAAGCGUGCGCAGGCGGUUCGUUAAGACAGAUGUGAAAUCCCCGGGCUUAACCUGGGAACUGCAUUUGUGACUGGCAGGCUAGAGUAUGGCAGAGGGGGGUAGAAUUCCACGUGUAGCAGUGAAAUGCGUAGAAAUGUGGAGGAAUACCGAUGGCGAAGGCAGCCCCCUGGGCCAAUACUGACGCUCAUGCACGAAAGCGUGGGGAGCAAACAGGAUUAGAUACCCGCGUAGUCCCUGUCUCUUAUACA
This 301-nucleotide ribosomal RNA is filed under the name uncultured bacterium. RNAcentral's name for it is "partial 16S ribosomal RNA". It matches the Rfam family "Bacterial small subunit ribosomal RNA", at positions 509 to 808 of the family's 1533-position model. The record is from RNAcentral.